UGAAGAAUAUUGGGCAAUGGGGGAAACCCUGACCCAGCAACGCCGCGUGAGGGAAGAAGGUUCUCGGAUUGUAAACCUCUGUCCCAUGGGAAGAAAAAAAUGACGGUACCAUGGGAGGAAGCCCCGGCUAACUACGUGCCAGCAGCCGCGGUAAUACGUAGGGGGCAAGCGUUGUCCGGAAUUAUUGGGCGUAAAGGGUGCGUAGGCGGCCCAUCAAGUUGGAUGUGAAAUCCCCGUGCUUAACAUGGGAAUUGCAUUCAAAACUGAAGGGCUUGAGUGUGGAAGAGGUAAGUGGAAUUCCCAGUGUAGCGGUGAAAUGCGUAGAUAUUGGGAGGAACACCAGUGGCGAAGGCGACUUACUGGGCCACAACUGACGCUGAGGCACGAAAGCGUGGGGAGCAAACAGG
Molecule: ribosomal RNA, 407 nt
Filed under: uncultured bacterium
Lineage: Bacteria
Also listed under: 1 other name
Description: bacterial SSU rRNA
Rfam family: Bacterial small subunit ribosomal RNA
Source: RNAcentral